Long non-coding RNA from Strigops habroptila (Kakapo), 1261 nucleotides. RefSeq lists it as uncharacterized. NCBI's taxonomy places the organism in Eukaryota, Metazoa, Chordata, Aves, Psittaciformes, Psittacidae. The transcript has 3 exons. The record is from RefSeq and is a predicted model, not a curated record.
GAUGCAAGCUUCCCAAAUGCUGUGUUGUAGAAACAUGGUGAUGCAAGCAGCUUUGGUCCUAUACAUUGCUUUUAGGGACAGCACACGGUCCCUCCCAGGAGGGCUGGAAGCUCUUUAUACCUUUCUCCCAUUUCAUUAAUUGCCUGAAACCCUCCCCCAAAUUCAGCUGGAACCUACAAGUGAGACUGAUCUCGCCAGAAUUGGAUUUUCCAGCAAAUUUUUUUGUAGUCAAAAGGAAAACAUUGACCCCUGAGUGCUCUGACACCCUUGUUUUGAGGAAGAUACCAGGAAAAGCUCAGGGGUAGGGUAGUGCCAUGACUUGAGCAGCGGUUUUCCCACAGAGAGGCAGAGUUUGUUACUCUCUGCACAUGGAGCAGUGGUGAAUCAAGGGGAGGAUUUGGCAUGGGGCACUAGUCUAACAUUGAACUGUAAUAGUGAACUGCCUCUUCCUUAAAACUUCUUUGCCUUAAAGAUAAUUUCUCUGUCUUAAAACUUAGUUUUAAAUUAUAAAAAACACAGCACAGGAGGAGGUGGAAAGUAGGCAGCAUGGAUUUUAGCCAAAAUAACACCUGGACUUUCUGCAAAUCUCUGUUGAGAGAUGACCGUAACGAAGUGAACAGGCUUGCUGUUUAUCAUGCUUGCAGCGUGUUUAGGGAGCAACAGCAUGAACAAAUGGAGCAGUGAAGAGAGGAAAAUAAUCCAGCACCAUUUCACUGUCUGGGAUACAUACUGGUGCAGCUAGUGGAUCCCGUUAUUUCACAUCUGUAAAGUUGAGAAAUACGGCUUGUUCCUCCCUCUGCUGCUUGUUGCUUGUAUUAACAGGGGAUGUUCAUCUUAACUAGCCAAGGCUGAGGGUACCAGUGGUGCUGAGAUAACAUCGUCUGCAGUGCCUGGUUGUCAAGCCCUCCAGAGAGGACACGGGCAGGCAGCAAGGCUCAAGGUACACAAGAUGCGCAAACCAGAAGAUAACGAGGCCACAACCGUCAGCAGAAGCUGCAACUCAACAAGAUAAGAACAGUUCAUGUCCUGCCCUCAUGGAGAUGGAGAAAGAAUCCAAUAAGCAGUAUUCAGCCCUAAUGGCCACGGGGACACGUUGGCUGCCCACCACCCUUCAGCCCCAUCACUGCCUCCUCUGCUGCUGGGACCAGCUCAGCCACAGGGCACUGCUCCAAAGCGUGGGGCUCACACAGCAUCCCCCAUGAAUCGGAUGCAUCAGUGCAGUACAAGGGGUUUGUUAGGACUCACCAGAGGCAUGCUUGCA